GAUGAACGCUGGCGGCGUGCCUAAUACAUGCAAGUCGAGCGAACGGACGAGAAGCUUGCUUCUCUGAUGUUAGCGGCGGACGGGUGAGUAACACGUGGAUAACCUACCUAUAAGACUGGGAUAACUUCGGGAAACCGGAGCUAAUACCGGAUAAUAUUUUGAACCGCAUGGUUCAAAAGUGAAAGACGGUCUUGCUGUCACUUAUAGAUGGAUCCGCGCUGCAUUAGCUAGUUGGUAAGGUAACGGCUUACCAAGGCAACGAUGCAUAGCCGACCUGAGAGGGUGAUCGGCCACACUGGAACUGAGACACGGUCCAGACUCCUACGGGAGGCAGCAGUAGGGAAUCUUCCGCAAUGGGCGAAAGCCUGACGGAGCAACGCCGCGUGAGUGAUGAAGGUCUUCGGAUCGUAAAACUCUGUUAUUAGGGAAGAACAUAUGUGUAAGUAACUGUGCACAUCUUGACGGUACCUAAUCAGAAAGCCACGGCUAACUACGUGCCAGCAGCCGCGGUAAUACGUAGGUGGCAAGCGUUAUCCGGAAUUAUUGGGCGUAAAGCGCGCGUAGGCGGUUUUUUAAGUCUGAUGUGAAAGCCCACGGCUCAACCGUGGAGGGUCAUUGGAAACUGGAAAACUUGAGUGCAGAAGAGGAAAGUGGAAUUCCAUGUGUAGCGGUGAAAUGCGCAGAGAUAUGGAGGAACACCAGUGGCGAAGGCGACUUUCUGGUCUGUAACUGACGCUGAUGUGCGAAAGCGUGGGGAUCAAACAGGAUUAGAUACCCUGGUAGUCCACGCCGUAAACGAUGAGUGCUAAGUGUUAGGGGGUUUCCGCCCCUUAGUGCUGCAGCUAACGCAUUAAGCACUCCGCCUGGGGAGUACGACCGCAAGGUUGAAACUCAAAGGAAUUGACGGGGACCCGCACAAGCGGUGGAGCAUGUGGUUUAAUUCGAAGCAACGCGAAGAACCUUACCAAAUCUUGACAUCCUUUGACAACUCUAGAGAUAGAGCUUUCCCCUUCGGGGGACAAAGUGACAGGUGGUGCAUGGUUGUCGUCAGCUCGUGUCGUGAGAUGUUGGGUUAAGUCCCGCAACGAGCGCAACCCUUAAGCUUAGUUGCCAUCAUUAAGUUGGGCACUCUGAGUUGACUGCCGGUGACAAACCGGAGGAAGGUGGGGAUGACGUCAAAUCAUCAUGCCCCUUAUGAUUUGGGCUACACACGUGCUACAAUGGACAAUACAAAGGGCAGCGAAACCGCGAGGUCAAGCAAAUCCCAUAAAGUUGUUCUCAGUUCGGAUUGUAGUCUGCAACUCGACUACAUGAAGCUGGAAUCGCUAGUAAUCGUAGAUCAGCAUGCUACGGUGAAUACGUUCCCGGGUCU
Molecule: ribosomal RNA, 1372 nt
Filed under: uncultured bacterium
Lineage: Bacteria
Description: bacterial SSU rRNA
Rfam family: Bacterial small subunit ribosomal RNA
Source: RNAcentral